RNAcentral lists this ribosomal RNA (464 nucleotides) under uncultured bacterium. Its description in RNAcentral is "partial 16S ribosomal RNA". It matches the Rfam family "Bacterial small subunit ribosomal RNA", at positions 339 to 795 of the family's 1533-position model. The record is from RNAcentral.
CUACGGGAUGCACCAGUGGGGAAUUUUGGACAAUGGGCGCAAGCCUGAUCCAGCCAUGCCGCGUGAGUGAAGAAGGCCUUCGGGUUGUAAAGCUCUUUCGGUGAAGACGAAACGGUUAGCGUUAAUAGCGCUGACUAAUGACGGUACUCACAGAAGAAGCACCGGCUAACUACGUGCCAGCAGCCGCGGUAAUACGUAGGGUGCAGGCGUUAAUCGGAAUUACUGGGCGUAAAGCGUGCGCAGGCGGUUUGCUAAGACAGGUGUGAAAUCCCCGGGCUUAACCUGGGAAUUGCGCUUGUAACUGGCAGGCUAGAGUGUGGCAGAGGGGGGUGGAAUUCCACGUGUAGCAGUGAAAUGCGUAGAUAUGUGGAGGAACACCGAUGGCGAAGGCAGCCCCCUGGGUUAACACUGACGCUCAGGCACGAAAGCGUGGGGAGCAAACAGGAUUAGAUACCCUAGUAGUC